RNAcentral lists this ribosomal RNA (396 nucleotides) under uncultured bacterium. Its description in RNAcentral is "partial 16S ribosomal RNA". It matches the Rfam family "Bacterial small subunit ribosomal RNA", at positions 338 to 731 of the family's 1533-position model. The record is from RNAcentral.
CCUACGGGAGGCUGCAGUGAGGAAUAUUGGUCAAUGGACGCAAGUCUGAACCAGCCAUGCCGCGUGCAGGAAGACGGCCCUAUGAGUUGUAAACUGCUUUUGUACGAGGGUAACCGCAGAUACGUGUAUCUGUUUGAAUGUAUCGUACGAAUAAGGAUCGGCUAACUCCGUGCCAGCAGCCGCGGUAAUACGGAGGAUUCAAGCGUUAUCCGGAUUUAUUGGGUUUAAAGGGUGCGUAGGCGGUAGGUUAAGUGAGAUGUGAAAUACCGGGGCUCAACCGCGGCAUUGCAUCUGAAACUGGUCGGCUAGAGAGCAGGUAGGGCAGGCGGAAUUUGUGGUGUAGCGGUGAAAUGCUUAGAGAUGAUGAAGAACACCGAUUGCGAAGGCAGCUUGCUG